Molecule: long non-coding RNA, 249 nt
Organism: Phacochoerus africanus (Common warthog)
Lineage: Eukaryota; Metazoa; Chordata; Mammalia; Artiodactyla; Suidae
Exons: 3
Source: RefSeq, a predicted model, not a curated record
UUUGUGAAGCACAGAGAGGCUGGAGCUGGACAACUGGGUGAAAAGGGUAGCUGUCUCCUGAUAGCCUACAUCCAUUGAGGGCCAGUCUUCGGAAACUUUUCUAAAUGUUCCCAGGCGGGAAGAGCCUGAUCUGGAUUAGAAGGAUGACGACUAUUUCCUUAAUUACUGGCCACACCCACAGCACUGGGAAAUUCCAAGCUGGGGUCAAUGGGAGCUGCAGCGGCUGGACUAAACCAUAACCAUAGCAAC